AGUGAACGCUGGCGGUAGGCCUAACACAUGCAAGUCGAACGGCAGCACAGUAAGAGCUUGCUCUUACGGGUGGCGAGUGGCGGACGGGUGAGGAAUACAUCGGAAUCUACUUUUUCGUGGGGGAUAACGGAGGGAAACUUACGCUAAUACCGCAUACGACCUACGGGUGAAAGCAAGGGAUCUUCGGACCUUGCGCGAUUGAAUGAGCCGAUGUCGGAUUAGCUAGUUGGCGGGGUAAAGGCCCACCAAGGCGACGAUCCGUAGCUGGUCUGAGAGGAUGAUCAGCCACACUGGAACUGAGACACGGUCCAGACUCCUACGGGAGGCAGCAGUGGGGAAUAUUGGACAAUGGGCGCAAGCCUGACCCAGCCAUACCGCGUGAGUGAAGAAGGCCUUCGGGUUGUAAAGCCCUUUUGUUGGGAAAGAAAAGCAGCAGGUUAAUACCCCGCUGUUCUGACGGUACCCAAAGAAUAAGCACCGGCUAACUUUGUG
This 492-nucleotide ribosomal RNA is filed under the name uncultured bacterium. RNAcentral's name for it is "partial 16S ribosomal RNA". It matches the Rfam family "Bacterial small subunit ribosomal RNA", at positions 29 to 507 of the family's 1533-position model. The record is from RNAcentral.